Molecule: unclassified non-coding RNA, 378 nt
Filed under: plant metagenome
Description: partial contains 5.8S ribosomal RNA, internal transcribed spacer 2, and large subunit ribosomal RNA
Rfam family: 5.8S ribosomal RNA (bases 1-105)
Source: RNAcentral
GAAAUGCGAUAAGUAAUGUGAAUUGCAGAAUUCAGUGAAUCAUCGAAUCUUUGAACGCACCCUGCGCUCCUUGGUAUUCCUUGGAGCAUGCCUGUUUGAGUAUCAUGAAAUCUUCAAAGUAAAUCUUUUGUUAACUCAAUUGAUUUCUACUUUGGUAUUGGAGGUCUUUGCAGCUUCACACCUGCUCCUCUUUGUUCAUUAGCUGGAUCUCAGUGUUAUGCUUGGUUCCACUCGGCGUGAUAAGUUAUCUAUCGCUGAGGACACUGUAAAAGGUGGCCAAGGUAAAUGCAGAUGAACCGCUUCUAAUAGUCCAUUGACUUGGACAAUACUUUUAUGAUCUGAUCUCAAAUCAGGUAGGACUACCCGCUGAACUUAAGC